GCCAGUGUGGCGUAGUGGUUUGAGUGUUGGACUUUAACUCUGGAGGUCUGGGUUCGAUUCCUAGCUCAGCCA
Non-coding RNA from Phrynosoma platyrhinos (Desert horned lizard), 72 nucleotides. NCBI's taxonomy places the organism in Eukaryota, Metazoa, Chordata, Lepidosauria, Squamata, Phrynosomatidae. The record is from the annotation of a GenBank genome assembly.